Molecule: long non-coding RNA, 777 nt
Organism: Aegilops tauschii subsp. strangulata
Lineage: Eukaryota; Viridiplantae; Streptophyta; Magnoliopsida; Poales; Poaceae
Source: RefSeq, a predicted model, not a curated record
CGGCCAGAUCUAGGAUCUAGGAGCCAAACAUCAUGCACACGAGGCGCGAGGUGGAGCUCCCGACGGCGCAGGUCAAUAAUUUGAGCAUAGAUGCCCAACAGCCAGAUCCAAAGUAUUUGAUGUGAUUUGUGCAUGAUGUUGGUCUGUUAGCCAUGUGAUGUUGAUAUAAAAUUUGCUUUUGGUCCUUCCAUGCUUGAUUUAGUUUAAACAUUGCAUCAAAGUACAAUGUUCAUUCCAUGACAAAUGAUCAAUUCCAUUGUAGAAAAUGACCAUCCAAACAAGCUUUGGAAUUGAGCAUGUCAUGCGAAUUCCAAGUCUGAAUUCUGUGCACAUCCGAACAACAUAAUUCGGGUUCAAUACCAAAGUCACGGAGAUUUGACAUUGAGCCCAAUCCAAUUCCAUGGCGCUCAAUAUCAACAUCAAAACAGAGCAUUAGAGAUCGUGACAGAAAAACUAGGAAAGCCCGUUAGAAGAGGAGACCCAGAUUCGAUGGGACACGGCUCGGCGCCGGAGCCGGCAGUGCACCAACGGCUGCGUGUGGUCUAUGGAUUUUGCGCCAGCUGCCGAUCGACGUUUUCCUACCCAUACGUAUUAUGUUUCUACAUUUUGACUGCAAUCUUAUCAUGUUGUAGAUCUCAAAUAGAUUAAGAAUAAAGUGAUGUUCUGUAUGCUAAUUUUGGCGAGUAGCUUUUGCGUGAACUAUGCGAUGACGCAUAAAUGGGGUAGUUGCCUCUUGAUUUAGUCGUUUGCACAACUCAUAAGAGCAACUUUGCACUA